UCUCCACUGCUUCUCAGCCAGCCAACGCCUCUUCUGAUUGGCUCUGACGUGCGUGGUGCGUGAUAACGUCACGAGACGCCGGCGUUACUAUAAGAGCGCAGCCGUGGCGCUUGCGCGCCUCUUUCUCAGUGACCGGGUGGUUCGCUCAGGCGCAGACGGGGAAGCGGAGCCAACAUGCCAGUGGCCCGAAGCUGGGUUUGUCGCAAAACUUAUGUGACCCCGCGGAGACCCUUCGAGAAAUCUCGUCUCGACCAAGAGCUGAAGCUGAUCGGCGAGUAUGGGCUCCGGAACAAACGUGAGGUCUGGAGGGUCAAAUUUACCCUGGCCAAGAUCCGCAAGGCCGCCCGGGAACUGCUGACGCUUGAUGAGAAGGACCCACGGCGUCUGUUCGAAGGCAACGCCCUGCUGCGGCGGCUGGUCCGCAUUGGGGUGCUGGAUGAGGGCAAGAUGAAGCUGGAUUACAUCCUGGGCCUGAAGAUAGAGGAUUUCUUAGAGAGACGUUUGCAGACCCAGGUCUUCAAGCUGGGCUUGGCCAAGUCCAUCCACCACGCUCGCGUGCUGAUCCGCCAGCGCCAUAUCAGCCCUCGGAGGUGAUGGGUGUGAGCUCACCCAGAGGGUACAGAUUCACCCUUGCACACAGCUCACCAGGGAGCUGGGGCAGCCUCUUGCCCCAAUAGCCCAGCGCAAGGGUCACUGCGGCUCUAGCCGUACACCUUGUGAAGGCCUCUGCCAGGCAUGUGGGCAGCUGGACAGGGUCCGCAAGCAGGUGGUGAACAUCCCGUCCUUCAUUGUCCGCCUGGAUUCCCAGAAGCACAUUGACUUCUCUCUGCGCUCUCCCUAUGGGGGUGGCCGCCCAGGCCGCGUGAAGAGGAAGAACGCCAAGAA
Molecule: RNA transcript, 885 nt
Organism: Gorilla gorilla gorilla (western lowland gorilla)
Lineage: Eukaryota; Metazoa; Chordata; Mammalia; Primates; Hominidae
Gene: RPS9
Gene name: ribosomal protein S9
Exons: 6
Source: RefSeq, a predicted model, not a curated record